UGUGUGUGUGUGUGAACAUUAACCACCACAGGUGACCUCUGGGCCUCCAAUGAGCAGCGAGGACUCUCAGAAACAAUGAUGAGGAUAGGAUGGCCUUGACUUUUAUGCUACCUGCCUAAGCGUCAAAUGUAUUUUCGGAACUGGAAGAACAUUGCCCCAGCCACCAUGGAUCUCCAGCUCAUCACCUGCCUCUGCAUCAGUGGAUGAAUGAGUGGAGCACUCUAACACAUCCUUGAGCAGUGUUUCUGAUCUCCACGCCCCUGUCAAGUCACGCUCCGCUCCCUGGUUCACUCAUGAGCUGUGGAAAAUACCACCAGCUGGGCGUGCCACGGAACGACCUCCAGACACUCUGGGCCCUCUGUCCAUGAACUGGCCUUCCGUGAGCAUCAAAGGGCUCCGACUGCCUUGAGGAGGCUCCUCGCGCUUCUAUUCCAGCGUCAUCAAUAAAAACCCUGGAAACUCUAAACAGCUUUUUUCUCCAAUAAAUCAUCUCCUGAAGCCACAGCCAUCCUGUUCAACUGAGGCUCCAGAGGAGCGAUGCAACAGCUUCACUGACUUCAGAACAAAGGUCAACAGCAUCCGCUCUACGAUGGCCAGCUCUCCAUCUCGGCUUCCCUCUGACACCAACACCGUAUCUGUCUCCUCUGGAUCUCGCUGAGGUUCAGGAGAGCCAUGUCGAGAAAAUCCUCAGAAAUAUGACAUCCUGUACCUGGACCCUGGACCCCAUUCCCACUGCUCUGCUCAAGUCUCAGUCCUUUCAUCACCAACGUUGUGAACCUUUCCCUUCUCUGGCUGUGUCCCACCUGCUCUCAAGGUUGCUGUCAUCUGUCCCAUUCUGAAGAAGCCCACCCUGGACCGCCUGUCCUGGGGAGAGAAAGGCUGGAGGAGCACAACUUCCUCCAGCUCAACAGCAGCAACACUGAAGCCCUCCUUGUUGGCACUCCACACCAGGUUCAGACAUCAUCCAGAACUCACCUCACCUUUGGCAGUCAGGUCCCCUCUCCUCCACAAUCACCAAUCUGGGAGUUCGGUUUGACCCCCACCUGACCUUUACUGACCAGAUAAAAUUCCUGUGCAAAAACCUCCUUUUAUCAUCUAAAGAACAUCUCCAAACUCCGCCCCACUUUAACCCCGUCAGACGCAGAGAAGCUCGUCCACGCCUUCAUCUCCUCGAGACUGGACGACUGCAACUCUCUCUCCACCGGGACCACGACAAGAACAUCUCCAAACGACAAGACAUUCCACACAGGCUGCCAGGGUCCUGAGGGGAGGCCGGAGAUACCACAUAUCACCCAUCCUCCAAUCGCUGCACUGGCUCCGUUUCAUUCCGGAUUAACUACAAGGUCCUGGUACUCACAUCUCAGCAUCAACGGACAUGCCCCCCCCACCUCCAGGAACGUACCACUCCCCGACCCUCAGAUCCACGGGCCGCUCGCUCCUCUGGGUCCCGACACCAAGCUCCGCACCACGGCGACCGGGCCUUCUGCUCGGUCUCCCUGACCACCUGAGGGCGACUCACUCUGAACUCUUCUAAGACUGGCCUGAAAACCUUUUUAUUCAGGAAGGCUUUUUUUUAGGGCUGUCAAUCGAUUAAAAAAAAGUAACUAAUAAAUCGCACAUUUUGAAAUUCAUUAAUCGCGAUUAAUCGCGAUUAAUCGCAAUGAAAAGUUACAAGUUAAAAGUUCAUUCUUUUUAAAGACCAAACUUCACACAGAGCUGUGUUUUCAAAGAGGCUCCUACCUAUAAAGUGCCAGCGAGGUAUUUAAUAUUGUGGAUGAUAAAUUGUUUCUUCAGUGAAACAUCAGAUUAGUAAAAAAAAAAGAAGUAUAUUGAGACCCCAUUGGUCCUGUCAUCUUUAACACUGAACAGCAGAACCAGUGGCCUUGGGAACUGACUGACAUUCACAUAUGUCACAUUAACCCUCUGGAGCAGGGGUGCUCACACUUUUUCAGCAUGCGAGCUACUUAUUAUGUGACCAAGUCAAGGCGAUCGACCGACGGGGCGGGCACCGGGGAUUCUUUAGCUAAACGGCCCUAAACAGCUUCCCAUUCAUUCUCUAUGGCGGUGUCUAAAAUCGCCGAUGUAAUAUAUCUCUGGCCACUCGCAGCUCAGUGGCGCUGUUUUCAGAGUGAAGCUCCUCCCGCUCCUCCCCCUCCUCCGUCUCAUUCAGUCUGCUGUGAGAAGGACCGACUGCACAUACGGAUCUCUGGAGCUCCACCGUUACGUCAAGCAGAGAGAUGAGCAGACAUGUGUUUUACCCUGGGAGAAUGGCUGUUUCAUUCCUUCCGCUGGCUUCUGGAGAAUGACAUUUGAUACACCAUCUACCUCAUCAGGAACCAGCAAAGAGAGGAAGCUGCAGGAGUGUUCAUGGCAGCGGGGCACAACAAGGACAGCCUCCUGUCCUUUCUCAACUAUUCCCUCAUGUUUGGAGGAAUCCAGUCUCUCCUCAACUAUGAGAAACACAAGCCAGUUGUGACAGCAGCAGCAUCGGAGGAUGACCAGCUGGUGGGUUUUGGGACUCGUGCCUACAGCACCUGGCGAGAGGUCUGGGAGAGCAGGGAGGACGGCUAUGCAUCCUUCAUCCUGAAGAAGAAGAACUGCACUGCAGGCACAAAGAUGCAUAAGCUACAACUCUACCUGAAGAAGAAGCUGCAGCCACCCACUGUCUCCCCUCUGAUGUCACACGCCUCACCUGUGAUGUCACACGCCUCACCUGCUCCUGCUGAAGCCAUUGUGAUGGAUGAAGAUGAAGAGCUGGAGAGGAUGAUGCUGAGCAUCUCUCCUUCAAAGCAACAUGUGCAGAGCUCUGUUUCUGCAUCUUCGUCAUCCUCCUCAUCUGCCAGACGACGAGAAAGAGGUCUUUAACCCAGAGCACCGUGCCGCCGACCGACACAACUGGGACCAUGAAUUCUUAUCCCACAUGAAGCAUGACUCGUCUCGUGUCGACCGUGUUCUGGUCCUGUUUGUCUUUUGGUGUUCCACCUGUUGUCCUAGUGACUAUGAAUUGACGCCGGUCCUGAUGAGGGUACGUAUCCGUCUUUGUUUUCUGAUGUGCAUGAAGAGAACCUGCUGAGCUACUAACACCUGUUGGCAUGUGUUUGCUGUGUGUUUGAAGUCAAGGUGCUUCCCCUGCCUAGGUGACAUAGUGAUGACUGGCUCCUGAAUAUUAACCCAUUGCAACAUGAACACAUGUGUAUGAAUGAAAUAUACUCUGUACGUAAUCAUGUUACAAACAGUCUGAUUGAUUGGAUUUGGCUGAACAAAGCAGGUGAAGUAAAGAUACUUUCUGCCUUUACUAACAGCAGUUUUUGUGUACUGUCAAAGUAUAAAUAACAAACAAAGGUUUUUCCGUUGCAGCAGCGGCGUUCACCUCCCAGCCGUCUUUGAUCCUGCAUUGAUGGCCCAGCUCAACGCAGCCUCCGAACGGGUGUUGGGACAGAUGAAGUAUCCAGCAUUUCAUCUCUCGAGCACCGACACUGGAGAAAAGUUUGGCCUGCAGUACGUUGAGCCUGGUUGCCGCCCAGUUCCUGUGGACUGGGACAAGCACAGGACCAAGUCGGACUCUGCCCCCCCGGCCCUGAAUCCACCUCCUCAAAGCAGCGUGCCUACUGUCCAGUCAUCCUCACUCUUCAUGGCACCACAGAAGCUGUUCCAGUUUCCUCCACGCCCUCCUGUGGAUUCUGCUGCUGUCAAACCAGACGUGACUCCCGGGCCUCCGACAGAUCCAGAAACAUGUCGGCCGUCUCUGCCGCUGCUGUCCUCGCCGACUGCCGCUCGCACUGGACCUGUGAAGACAGGGGGGAGAGUGUUUGUGUUGGACCACAAGCGGUGGCCGGCCCCCAUGAAGGCAACUAUUGACAACCUGCUCAAUAAACACCGUGGCAUGAAGGACAUGCUCAAGCUAGUGGACCAGGACUAUGCUGCUCUAGUUCACAACUCUUGCACAGACCCAAACAACAUGCUCCACCCAACAACUAAACACCACAUCUUACUAUAUGUUAAACACCUCUGCAAAUUACUGAACACCAGCUCGUCUUUAAACACCAGCCCGAAAAACUGCAAGAGCGGCAGGAACUCUGGCACGCUCUGACAAAGGGCAGCGAGGCGACACGGGUGCCGGUUGUAACAAUGCCUGUUGCAGUCGUGAACCCACCUCCACCUAGUCAGACCCUCACUAAAGCCUCUAUUGAGCAAAUUGUGCAAAAUAUUAUUGAAAAGCAACAACAGCAUCAGCAGCAACAACAACAACCAGUGGCUUCAAAGAAGCAGACAAAAACGUGCCUUUCCUGUGGUCAGCCAAAGUCCAGGAACACAGUUCUUUCAGCAGGAACUGUCUGCCACAAAGAAAAGGGUGGAGGAGAGAGGCCAGCAGAAGAGGAAGAGAACUGAAUCCCAGCACAGAACCCCAGAACACUGGUCCAAGGUGUCGCUUUUGUGGGAUGGGACUGAAGCAGGGCCCAAACAGCCCUCACAUUCACACCGGGUUCCCGGGGGUAGCAGGGAAGUACAUUUAUUGUCCUGCCAAAGUAUUUUCCCUGUACAGAGACCAGGGCAUGGAGAAGGAGAUGACGUGGAGAGAGUUCAAGGCAUCUGCCUUCUAUGAGACGGGAAAAACAGAUGGGCCGUUGACAAGAGCAAAUAAGAGAGAUGGGCAGUGUUUUGUCAUGUAUAUAUCUUUUCUUAUUUUAAUAAUUACAUUCUUUUAUGAUAUAAAUUAUAUUUGUUUUACUAUUUUUAUUGUUUUUAUUGUUUGUGUGACCUUGCACUAUGGCCUGUGUGUUCAAUAUUUACUGUCCUUGUUGUGAAUAAAUAUAUUUCAUGGA
Pseudoliparis swirei is the source of this 4823-nucleotide RNA transcript. RefSeq lists it as uncharacterized. Lineage: Eukaryota; Metazoa; Chordata; Actinopteri; Perciformes; Liparidae. The record is from RefSeq and is a predicted model, not a curated record. The transcript is spliced from 7 exons.